Molecule: RNA transcript, 4667 nt
Organism: Zingiber officinale
Lineage: Eukaryota; Viridiplantae; Streptophyta; Magnoliopsida; Zingiberales; Zingiberaceae
Gene name: YTH domain-containing protein ECT2-like
Exons: 4
Source: RefSeq, a predicted model, not a curated record
UCUCCUCACUUUAACUUCAGUGUGACACCUCCAUCCCUAUAACCUUUUCUCCAUCUCCCCUCCAUGAACCCUAAUUUUAGAGCUGCCUCCUUCUUCCUAUGACUCAUCUCCUUGCUCUCUUCUCCCGCUAAGAGUUCUUCCUAUUUGUCUUUCGGGUUUACAAGUCAGUGGUGAGCAAUUUUGGUACUUCACCAAAAGUUUCCUCCCCUUCAACCUCAGUAUAGAAAGUCCUUCUCGAUCUCCAAUCUCCUCUUCUUUUAUUCCUCUACAAGUUGGUGCCGAGUGGCGGCAACGGUGCUAGUGGUGGAGGACAUGUGGUGUGAGAAGAUUUAGAUCAAGCAGAUCGAGAAUUCCACGAACAAGCAGGUCACCUUCUCUAAGCACCGCAAUGGGAUCAUUAAGUAGAUGAGAAAGAUCAGCAUCCUCUACGAAGAGCAAGUCUCUGUUGUCAUAUUCUGAAGCUCUGGCAAGAUGUUCGAGUACUACAGCCCCUCCACAAUGUUAUAAUGGUUCAGUGGCAUAUUGGGAGGAUUAUUCUAGAUAUGUUAACGAUGAUGGAAGAGGUGCCUCCACAUGUAAGUUGUAUCAAAGCCCUAUGCUCUCUUGAGCGUCUCAUUUUGAUGAUAGCCUUACUUUAUUAUUGAUCAUUUUUUUUCCAAAUUUGUACUCACAAAUUGUUUUGUAAUUGUAUAUGCAUGUCAAGGUUUUGAUAGCAUUUCUAGUUUUUAGCAGGGGGUUUAUGGAGACAUGUAUCAUCAUGGAUAUGGCUAUGCACAAUAUAGUCCAUAUCCUUCACCUGGUUCACCAGUUCCAACUUUGAGGCACAACAAUCAGUUAUACACAUCCCAACAUUACCAGUUCCAAGCCACAUAUUUCCAACCGCCGCUGCCUACAAAUGCUCCAUACACAAGCCAAAAUCCUAGUUCCAAAGUGAAUAUUUCUACAUCUACUGCAACUGAUGUUGCUCCUACUCCAAUAGAUACAACACAAGCUAGUUCAAAUGGUAUUGCUAAAGAAAGUACAAGUAACAACAACAGAGUUACAAAAAUAAUACAAAGCCAACAUAAUAUUGCAUCAAAUAUAGGUGGUGCAUUUGGUAAAAGCAUUUCAUCUGGUGGACAAUCACCUUCAGGUUAUCAAGACCUAAGAUAUGGGUUUGAUAGCAUGUGGUCACCUAUUUCAUGGUAUGAUGGUUCUAUAUUUGCUGAUGGGCAGUAGAGACACACUACCGCUAAUAAUGCCUCUUCAAUGUCUCCUUAUGUUGCGAAUACUACAUCUAUUAGAAAUCAGAACUUUCAUCCCAUUCCUCAUCUUAUGGUAUGCACAUCACUAAUAGGUUCUAUUAAUUGAGUUGUUUAUUAUGCAUUUAAAUGAACCAGAUUAGUACUUCCUAAUAAUUAAUCUUAGCACUCAUAACAAUCUAGUAGCAAACCAAACACUUGUCACUGAACUUUAACUUGGUGAUAUUUUAGUGCCCUAGGACAUUAUAAUAGAUGAUAUUUUAGUGCCCUAGAAUUUAUAAAAAAAAAAUUCUUCCCAAGUGAUAGCAUUGUUGAAUGAUCCUCCAGAUUUUAUGAUUAACAAACAACUUUAUGGUAAUAAAAAAAAAAGAAAAAGAGGAGAUAAAAACCUUGACAAGGAAAAGGAAAAAAAUAGAUGCUAAUUUAAUAGAAGAUUCAAUAGGCACAUAAUCAAACAAAACGCCAAGAGUUGAAUUUUAUCGGCUCAUCUAAAUUUUAUUCACUUAUCUAUGCCCCUUUAUUUAUAUAGUUAAUUUUUUAUUGAACAAUUUUGUAUGAUUUGGUAUUUUGUUUAUGCAGGUGGUAUGAAGUUUAAGGUAGUCUGGUAACAUACUUCUAAGGGAUGUUAUACUACUGUAGUCCGAUAACAUACUUACAUCUAAAAAUAAAUUGCCAUGAUAUUAAUAUUAUUUCCAUACAAAUGACUCCACUUUAUCUUCAGUUUCUGAGGAGAUUGCCAAGAGUGAAGCCAAUAGUCAUGUUGAGCUAACUGAUUACUCAACCUUGUUUGGGCCAGAACUUAAAUUACCUGAUGACCAAUGGGAUGCUUCUUACUUGAAUGUGUUGGAUGUUGCUGUAAUUGAAGAAGGCAUUCUCCAUGUCCUAUUUGGAUGUGCUUCACAAGUAUGUGUCAUGAAAUUUCUAUUUUUUGUAUUGUUUAAUUAUUUACCCCAAUUAAAGGAGCCUUACCCUAUAUUCAUCCAAAUGAUUUCUUUCCGCAUGAAAUCUAUCUUAUCUAUUAAAUUUUCAAGUGUUUAUAUCCUUUUUAUAAAAAAUAUUCAGCCUCUCCUAUGUUGCAAAUUGGCAAAUAGUAAUUCAAAAUUUGACCCUAUUUUAACACUGAUACAAGCUCUACUUCCAGGUGAAAUCAUUAUAUGUUUUUCAUACAUUUGGGUUUGUUGCUUUCUUUCUUUAAAUUAGAUUUUUUUUUGUCUUUGAUCUGACAACACACUUCACCCUCCAAUCACCUGCCCCCUUGAUCGAGUUGAUGAUAGUUUUUCACAGUGGAAACAUCCUUCUGUGCAUUGCACUCUUUCUCAAGUUCAUAAAUUUUGCAUUUUCAUGGUAUAUAAAAAAUGUGUUUAUUUUUUCCCUAAACUAUCAAUAUCUUACUACUAAUUGUUACUAUGGGUAAUGACUAUGUCAUCGUCAUCAGUAUAUCAUCCUCUUCUUCAUGCUUGUGUGAGAUAUCUGUCUUCUUUUCUAUCAUCUCAUGUUUGUUUGUUUCUAUCAAAUUUGCAUUAUAAAUAAAGCUAUCUAAGCAUGCCAUUUAUUUUCAAAUUAUUAGGCAACAACAGCUUGUGUGCUUAUUAAUCUAUGUUCUGGGCCUUUAUCACCAAAGAUACCUACAAUUACAAAGGUUUUGUUAUAGUUCCCCAUCAUGAGUCUCCAUCUUAUAUGAAUCAAUUCAGUUAUGUAACUACUACCACCCCCUUUUUUCAAGUUGAUAUUGCAAUUGAACUCAUAGAGGGCCUCUUGGGUGUUAUUCAAGUAAGUUCAUUUUGUUAAUUUCUUACCACAACAUCUUAUCACUCUGACACUUCCCAACUUUUCCCCCAAAUCAUCUACCAUCUACCGAAUUUUUGAAACAAAUAAUAUUAUAUUCUUCCUUCAUGCACAUGAAAGAUUUCUAAUCCUGUUUGUUUUAUGUUAUUUCCAUUAGACUUGCUUAUUGCCAUGCUUCAUAGUUAGUCUGACUCUAUCCUCAAUCUCCCUAUCAGAAUGCUCCCCAAUCUCUUGUCCGUGCACACUGUGCACUGAAGUAUAUCUUGUUGGCCAUCUUUGCACAUGUGGAUGAUGUGCUAGCAAAAUAUAAGGUUUGACUUUCUGAUAAAGGGUUGAUUCACAGAUUAAGCAUAGCUUUUAAAUUUGAGUUUAUAGUUAUAUUAAUGAUUCUUCUAGCAUCUGAGAGAUGUUAUACCACUACAGCCCUAUAACAUACUUCUAUCUUCUUUUUUUGGUAUUUUUAUUAAUUUUUCUAGUUUAUUAUAACUCGUAUGCACCUAAUAUAGCUUUUAUCUUAAAGGAAAAGUGUAUUAACUAGUUUUUAUGCCUCUCGUAUCUUUUAGUUCCAUCUAUUAUUGCAACACUUGGCAAAAGCUACUAGAGUGGAUAAUAUUUGUUCCUCUUUGGCUAUUUCAUGAUGUUACAGCACAAGGGAGGUUCUCCUUACCUACUCCGUCAUUGUCUCAUGAUUGCCAUGUAUGAUUUAACUUCUAAUGUCUAUUCAAGCAAAUGUUUUUUUCUGUUUUUUACGGUGUGGCUUGUAAUAAUUCAAUUUAGUAACCUGGCCUGAUAUACUUCUUUUUAUACAGUGGGCACCUUGUCAUGCUAUUGUUGAAAUACCUUUAUUUAUUGCCAUUGAACUACUUCUUUGUAUAUAUCUUCACAAUAUAAGUGGUAAGACACAAUUGGUUAAUAGUCAAUUUAUAUGAACUCUACUCAUAGUUUUAAUUUGGAAUCGCAUACAGUUAAUGCUGGACGUUAUAUCAACCUAAAGGUUGUGUUCCUUCCACUUUUGGCCUUUGAGAUAACCAUUCUUGUUGAUAAUUUUAGGAAUAAAUAUAUUUAUAUUUGUAUUUAUGCUAUCUUAGAGGGAAAUAGCAGGUAAAUAUAUAUUUAUGCUAUCUUAGAGGGAAAUAGCAGGUAAAUAUAUUUAUGUUUGUAUUUAUGAUUGCACCUUAAAUCCAGCUCAGAAUUUGCUAUUCAAAAGAUAACAUAUUUUGUGUAUUAGUGUAUGACAGAUAUAAAACUCAUGGUUGCAUAUAAUAAAGAUUAUGAUUAGUUGUUGCUGGUUAAGUUCCUCAAGUUGAAGCAUGGUUGAAAAAAAGAACGGUCUUGAUAUGGAGGAAAAUCAUUGGAGAUUAGCAUGGAUACUUGCACCACCACCAGGUCAAACCUUUGAUGGAGUAGAAGAGACAAAGUUUCCAACUAGUCAUCCUUUGGAGAACUCUGAAACUGAGAAGUUCCAUUAAUUGCUAACUUCAAGAGAGGCUGAAUCUACUAGACUUGAGAAACGAUAAGUAUUGUAUACAAUUGUGUGUGUAUAUAUGUUUGCAAGAAAUGAUCAUUUAAAAUGGGAUGAUAUAUAUAUAUGUUUGUCGACAAUGGUUUAUUAUAUAUAUGUUUGUAGAUAAUGAUUUAUCA